This is a long non-coding RNA of Gopherus evgoodei (Goodes thornscrub tortoise), 3838 nucleotides long. RefSeq lists it as uncharacterized. The transcript is spliced from 2 exons. Lineage: Eukaryota; Metazoa; Chordata; Testudines; Testudinidae. The record is from RefSeq and is a predicted model, not a curated record.
UCAUCCUAGUAGCCCGUCUCUGGACCUGUUCCAGUUUGAAUUCAUCCUUGAACAUGGGACACCAGAACUGCACAAGCUGCUAAGGAGAGCUAUAGCAUAUAUCGCUCAGGUGUUUUAAGUGUAGGUGAAGGUGCUGUGCUUCUGGUUCUCUUUGUGGACAGGAACGGUUUCCACCAUUUUCUUGCCAUGAUAUCAGCUGUUGCUUAAAUGUGGCUCUUGCAUUAGAAUAAAUGGAUCCAAAGAAAUGGAACCAGCUUUAAUAGAAAGUGUAAAAUGUUUGUUCCUGUUCUAAACUGAUUUGCCUGUCUGUAGGUGGCUGACUAAAGGUUUUCAUUAUCUCCUGCCAGGUAUUUUUUACGGGAUGUCUGCUCUAUUCAUUCUCCUUCAUGACCACGUUCAAUAGUUCUAGGUAUGGGUUUCCCUUGUGCAGAUUUUGGAGUUAGGUUUUGACAGUCAGCAGGCAUUGGGCACCAGACAGACACAGGCUGCUGCUGUUGGAUCUUCUUCCCCCUUCUUACAGAGCAACUGGGCAAAACUUCUUAACUCCAUUUUUGGGCAGAACCCUUAGUUGGGAUUGCUCAAUGAACUGCAGGGUGUUUUGUUUUUUCCCCCUCCCACCGAGAAAUUUCCUAGUUUGUUAGAAAAGAGCUGUACAUCACGUUUCCUGCAUACUUUCCAGGGUCGACCCUACCAUGGAGAGACUUUCUCCAAAAAUAAACCCAAAUGAAAGAGACCUGAAAUCAGUGCUACAUGAAGUGUUUUUAGCCACCAAAGUGAGCUUCAUUUCAUGUUUGGGCUCUCUGAGAUUUGCCUCCGAGUCCUUGGCAUACAUUGCAGUUGCUAAGAGACUGCUAUGGUAACUUAUGAUCCUGAGAAGGAGAGGGCUAAGCCAAACAUCUAGCAUUCUCAGAAUGUGCAGGUGAAAAAUUCUUUAGGAAACUACUGGGGAACUAUAACCGAAAUAAAUAUUUCCCUUCUGUAGUCAGCAGAAAAGAGACUUCAGACCAUCCUACCAAAGGGAAAUACUCCCUUCAAGGCUUCAGUUCUUCCCAGAUUUCUAGGGCUUGAUGGCAGCUAUUGUAGAGAAGUCUAGAAGCAAAGCCAGUUCCACAAGUAAGCAAAAAAAAUCCCACCUGACUCUCUGCUCCACUUGCCCACGGACCAGAGCCCUCAUUCAGUUUGCGGAAUCUAUGCUUUCAUAUCAGACAGAUGAGUUCUAGAUAGAGCCUGGCUUAAACCUACCUCCUGUCACUGUCCUAUAGGUGAGCAGUUGACUAAUCUUGCAUCAGAAGAUUCUUGAAAGGAGCAGCACAGCUGCUUAAUCUUCAGAGAUCCACCAAGUAGCAUUGUGGAAGCUUAACUUGGUAUUUUGAUGCCUGCAAAAAGGUGGCAGAUUCUAAGACCUGUGCAGCCAUCAUCCUUUUAUCAGGUGCUCUGCAGAAAGUGCUGUAUAAUAAUUAUUGCGGAGUCACUCUGAGGUCAGAUCAGGUGUGACCAAUUAACUCCAGUGUGGAAGCAUGUGGGUCUGGAGUGCCUCACUUGAAGGCAGAGCGAAGCAGGGACAGAGGCACUGCAGGGAAAUCUUCAAAGUGCCAAACUCAAGGAAACUCACUUAAGGUGAGGUUCAUGUUCCUUUUUGUUACCAAAAAUGUCAAACCCGGGGGGGUUAAGUCUGGGCUUUAGGGAGCGUGUGUGUAUGCUCUGUUCAGAACAGUUAGUUACAACGCCGUAAUGAAAAUGGCACUCAAACUGCUUCAGCCACUAUCUUUGUCUUGCCAUCAAAGUAACAUUACAUCAGCGUGACAUUCUGCCUAUGAAGCUAGUGCUGUGCAUUGCAUGCCUACAAAAUGGUCUUAAGAUUAGACCAUCCUUGAAGUAAAUACUUCUUCAUAGGUCACAAGAUUGCAUUUAUUUCCUUCUGUCCUAACUCUGUACCUCAAGAGGAAAAUAGCAUCAGCUGGAUGUGAGGAAAAUUAAUUCAUUCCAAGUAAAUUUCAAAAGUGCCUUCAGAAAGUCCAUAGCUGUCUGUGCCAUAUAUUGCUAAUGGGAAAAAGGGGCUUUGAGUCAUCAGUUGUCUUAUGGCUGAAAUUAUGUGGUGAAAAAGUUUAUCAUUCUAAGCACCCAUUCUUUCUGUAAUCUAUUAUUGCCCAUCAGACCCGAGCCACAUCAGCAUUCUGGGCAGGAAAAUCUCAGGCCAACUAUGAAAAAAUUGGCAAGGGAGGAAACUGGUCCUCCAGCCAUAUGGCUACUGCACAAUUAAUGCCACAGACUUUGGUGAUGGAUGCUGCUUUUGUUGGACAGGUACUGCAUGCAGUAAUACGCUCUCCAUCCACACCCCAAAUUCCUUCCUGUACAUCUAGAUCUGCCGUUUCCCUUAGCCCAUCCUUCGUAUUUCACCACUAUUAAAAUUCCAUACUAAGAAAUGGUAAAGCCAGAUAUAAGUACAGCGGAGAGAGACUUCCCUACCUGACAAGUUUUUCUUCGCUUCACCUCCUCAGAUGUUAAUGUAAUUUGGCCAACAUUGGGUGGUUUAUGCUCUGCAGACACAGUGGGAGGUGUUAAGGGAAAGCAAUCUCAACUACAAGACUUCCAUGACAUUAGUUCUCUGCAUAUUUUAUAGCACAUGAAACACACCCUCUGGCAGUGAUUCUAGGAGACACAGCCAAGCCCUAUUUCUGCUAACUGACAUGUUUGAUUCUGCCUCCAAAAUUUUGCAGAGGAAACCCACUGGGAAAAGAAAAAUCAGAUCCUUAGCGGAGGCACAACUCCCAACUGGCUGAAGAGCAAGAACUACACCCCUUGUGAUUGUAGCUCCAUACUUUUUGGUCAACUGCAAAUAUCCAUAUUGAGCAACAUUGUUAAGUUGGCUCCUGCAAGUGGCUGAGCACCAUCGACUUCUACUGGAAGGCUGAGCUCAGAAAAGCAGAAGUUAAAGAAAGAAGAGAUUUUACGUGGUCACCUCCAACAUACUUUGCUAGCAUAAGACUGUUUACUCUGGUUUGCUAACUACUACUUUGUUCAGAAUAGUUUUAAGCAUCACAAGCGAUGUGGGCUCCAUUUCCCUUGAGAAACCACUCCCCAGCAUGAUAUUUCAUUAUGGAUACAUUCUCCUUGUUAGAAGAAAGAGCUUUUCUCUUACUCCUAGAUAUAUUCCUUGUGCCCCCAUAAACAGUUCCUUGCCCUCCUUGGUGUUCAUAUCUUUCCUAUACUUGGAAACAAGUUGUCAUUUAGCUAAGCUAUGAAGGACCAUCCAUCAGUUUUAGCCCACGGAUAUGCAUAAGCGUAGUCCCCUGAAGACAAUAGAGUUAUACCAGAGUGUUGAGGGCAUAACUUGGCCUCAUGUCAGUCCUUCCAGGUGUAACUCCUAUUCCACCUGGAGGUUUUGAAAUCUUGAUAGUAUCCCCCUUGACAUCCAUCAAAGCCAAUUUACCUUUGUCUCUCCAGUUAUACUAUACAAAUGUUUUGUUAAUCUUGGAAGACAAGUGGGAUUUUAGGUAUCUUUAGGGAUUAUCAUUCUUCCAGCACAGGUAGGCUGCUAUUCCUCAUUGCAUAUGAGCCUACAUUUUUGUUUUUAUUUGUUAGACUUUUAUAGCUGAAUUGUUUGUGGGAGUGUGGGAAGGUGGGGUUACCCCGAGGUUAAAUUCCAAUUUGUCAAUGUAGUACUCAGUCUGAGCUUUGGGCAAAGGUCAAACUUUCUAUUGUUAUUUUCCCCCAGAAUUUCCAACAUACCAAAAUCCCUUUGUAUUUGUGUCCUCAUGGACAUUCACAAGCCUCCCAAUUUGGUGUGCUCUCAUAUUCCAGAUUAAUAAAGUUGCUAUCAUACCCCUGUCCUAGAAAG